RNAcentral lists this long non-coding RNA (905 nucleotides) under Homo sapiens (human). Its description in RNAcentral is "AGBL1 antisense RNA 1 (AGBL1-AS1)". Lineage: Eukaryota; Metazoa; Chordata; Mammalia; Primates; Hominidae. The record is from RNAcentral.
UCCCAGUUCAAGCUUCCACAAUCAUCCUACACAAGAGCACUGCUUCUCACAGGACUGCCUCAGCCUGGCAGGAUUCAGUCUCCUGCUCUGAGGGAAAAACAGGAAGUCAAGGAUCAAGACCGAGUGCUCAACUGAGAUCAGAAAGGAGGACACACAGUGACUUGGCCAAAUCACUGGAGAUUCACACAGCAGAGCUCAGACGAGUGCUAUCAGCACAGCUGAGGAAGACAACAGUUAGGGGAAUCAGUGAAGUGAGCUCCCAGCUACCGCCUCGAGAGGCUGCUAUUGACAAUCUCCUGUCUGGCCAAACAACUUCCUUUCUACAACUUUGCCUGGGCGAAUGGCAGUAGGAAAACACCACCAACAAAUUGGAAAUUGCCACAUCAUUCACAUCGGUUUUCCUCUACUGAAUCCAAUCCCUGCUUUCAAGAAGAAAGAAGUGGUAGUACAAUACAAUCUCAGCAUUCUGUAAUCUGGCUUGAAUGUGACUGUGCAAGGAUCCUGAAAGAGAAACAUUGGUUGUGUUUUUAUUCCUUGGGUAUAAGAAUCCUGAAAGAGAAAGGCAUCUGAACCUUGGAGGCAUGGGGUUCAUCUCAUCCUCAUCCAGCCUGUGAUGAUGGAGCUGUUUUCACCAGAAACGUGAGGAGACUCAUACCACUUGAGAACUAUUUGUUGGAGUGCCAGAUUAUUUAAGGGCCUUUGCAUGUUUCAAGUCCUCUUCUUAAAGUAAGAAUACUCUCCACAUUUAUAACAGCAACAAAAACACCAAUGUCAGCACAAAAUGCAAAAACGGAGGCACUUCUAUGUCAUAAUGAUACAUCAGAGUUCUGCUCAACUCUUUUUUAGAAAAAGAAGCUCAGACUUACACACAUCCACUUUCUUAAAUAAAUAAUUGUUCAAUGAAA